This 25-nucleotide non-coding RNA is filed under the name Rattus norvegicus (Norway rat). Lineage: Eukaryota; Metazoa; Chordata; Mammalia; Rodentia; Muridae. The record is from RNAcentral.
UGACAAUUGUCAUUGAGGAUUGGCC